This 433-nucleotide ribosomal RNA is filed under the name uncultured bacterium. Its description in RNAcentral is "partial 16S ribosomal RNA". It matches the Rfam family "Bacterial small subunit ribosomal RNA", at positions 29 to 507 of the family's 1533-position model. The record is from RNAcentral.
AACGAACGCUGGCGGCAUGCCUAACACAUGCAAGUCGAACGAGACCUUCGGGUCUAGUGGCGCACGUGUGCGUAACGCGUGGGAACCUGCCCUUAGGUUCGGAAUAACUCCCCGAAAGGGGUGCUAAUACCGGAUAAUGUCUUCGGACCAAAGAUUUAUCGCCUUUGGGUGUGCCCGCGUUGGAUUAGCUAGUUGGUAGGGUAAAAGCCUACCAAGGCGACGAUCCAUAGCUGGUCUGAGAGGAUGAUCAGCCACACUGGGACUGAGACACGGCCCAGACUCCUACGGGAGGCAGCAGUGGGGAAUAUUGGAAAAUGGGCGAAAGCCUGAUCCAGCAAUGCCGCGUGAGUGAUGAAGGCCUUAGGGUUGUAAAGCUCUUUUACCCGGGAUGAUAAUGACAGUACCGGGAGAAUAAGCUCCGGCUAACUCCGUG